This 103-nucleotide small nuclear RNA is filed under the name Eucalyptus grandis. The record is from RNAcentral. Lineage: Eukaryota; Viridiplantae; Streptophyta; Magnoliopsida; Myrtales; Myrtaceae.
UUCUUCUUAAGAGAAAUCCUAUAAAAUGGGAAUGAUAUAGAAAAGAUUAAUAUGGUUCUGUGCAAGGAUGACACGCACAAAUCAAGAAAUGGUGAAAUGGUAU